UGGGGAAUUUUGGACAAUGGGCGAAAGCCUGAUCCAGCAAUGCCGCGUGUGUGAAGAAGGCCCUCGGGUUGUAAAGCACUUUUGUCCGGAAAGAAAACGCCGUGGUUAAUACCCGUGGCGGAUGACGGUACCGGAAGAAUAAGCACCGGCUAACUACGUGCCAGCAGCCGCGGUAAUACGUAGGGUGCAAGCGUUAAUCGGAAUUACUGGGCGUAAAGCGUGCGCAGGCGGUCCGCUAAGACAGAUGUGAAAUCCCCGGGCUUAACCUGGGAACUGCAUUUGUGACUGGCGGGCUAGAGUAUGGCAGAGGGGGGUAGAAUUCCACGUGUAGCAGUGAAAUGCGUAGAGAUGUGGAGGAAUACCGAUGGCGAAGGCAGCCCCCUGGGCCAAUACUGACGCUCAUGCACGAAAGCGUGGGGAGCAAACAGG
Molecule: ribosomal RNA, 429 nt
Filed under: Bacillota bacterium
Lineage: Bacteria; Bacillati; Bacillota
Description: Firmicutes bacterium partial 16S ribosomal RNA
Rfam family: Bacterial small subunit ribosomal RNA
Source: RNAcentral